RNAcentral lists this ribosomal RNA (1350 nucleotides) under uncultured bacterium. Its description in RNAcentral is "bacterial SSU rRNA". It matches the Rfam family "Bacterial small subunit ribosomal RNA", at positions 28 to 1381 of the family's 1533-position model. The record is from RNAcentral.
GACGAACGCUGGCGGCGUGCUUAACACAUGCAAGUCGAACGGAAAGGCCCUGCUUUUGUGGGGUGCUCGAGUGGCGAACGGGUGAGUAACACGUGAGUAACCUGCCCUUGACUUUGGGAUAACUUCAGGAAACUGGGGCUAAUACCGGAUAGGAGCUCCUGCUGCAUGGUGGGGGUUGGAAAGUUUCGGCGGUUGGGGAUGGACUCGCGGCUUAUCAGCUUGUUGGUGGGGUAGUGGCUUACCAAGGCUUUGACGGGUAGCCGGCCUGAGAGGGUGACCGGCCACAUUGGGACUGAGAUACGGCCCAGACUCCUACGGGAGGCAGCAGUGGGGAAUAUUGCACAAUGGGCGGAAGCCUGAUGCAGCAACGCCGCGUGCGGGAUGACGGCCUUCGGGUUGUAAACCGCUUUCGCCUGUGACGAAGCGUGAGUGACGGUAAUGGGUAAAGAAGCACCGGCUAACUACGUGCCAGCAGCCGCGGUGAUACGUAGGGUGCGAGCGUUGUCCGGAUUUAUUGGGCGUAAAGGGCUCGUAGGUGGUUGAUCGCGUCGGAAGUGUAAUCUUGGGGCUUAACCCCUGAGCGUGCUUUCGAUACGGGUUGACUUGAGGAAAGGUAGGGGGAGAAUGGAAUUCCUGGUGGAGCGGUGGAAUGCGCAGAUAUCAGGAGGAACACCAGUGGCGAAGGCGGUUCUCUGGGCCUUUCCUGACCGCUGAGGAGCGAAAGCGUGGGGAGCGAACAGGCUUAGAUACCCUGGUAGUCCACGCUGUAAACGGUGGGUACUAGGUGUGGGGUCCAUUCCACGGGUUCCGUGCCGUAGCUAACGCUUUAAGUACCCCGCCUGGGGAGUACGGCCGCAAGGCUGAAACUCAAAGGAAUUGACGGGGCCCCGCACAAGCGGCGGAGCAUGCGGAUUAAUUCGAUGCAACGCGUAGAACCUUACCUGGGUUUGACAUGGAUCGGGAGUGCUCAGAGAUGGGUGUGCCUCUUUUGGGGUCGGUUCACAGGUGGUGCAUGCCUGUCGUCAGCUCGUGUCGUGAGAUGUUGGGUUAAGUCCCGCAACGAGCGCAACCCUUGUUCACUGUUGCCAGCACGUUAUGGUGGGGACUCAGUGGAGACCGCCGGGGUCAACUCGGAGGAAGGUGGGGAUGACGUCAAGUCCUCAUGCCCCUUAUGUCCAGGGCUUCACGCAUGCUACAAUGGCUGGUACAGAGAGUGGCGAGCCUGUGAGGGUGAGCGAAUCUCGGAAAGCCGGUCUCAGUUCGGAUUGGGGUCUGCAACUCGACCUCAUGAAGUCGGAGUCGCUAGUAAUCGCAGAUCAGCAACGCUGCGGUGAAUACGUUCCCGGGGCU